Long non-coding RNA from Cercocebus atys (sooty mangabey), 1344 nucleotides. RefSeq lists it as uncharacterized. The record is from RefSeq and is a predicted model, not a curated record. The transcript has 3 exons. Lineage: Eukaryota; Metazoa; Chordata; Mammalia; Primates; Cercopithecidae.
GUGUAUCUAUCUAUUCAAAGGAACACCUUGAAUCUGCAUAGAAAGAUUGGAGAGUGAAAGUACACCUAUACAUUUUAAGUUAAAAUAUCAAGGUGUAUAUGUGUAUUUUGGAGGGUCUGCUUUAUUAUUUUCAAAUAAUUGACUGUCUGAAGGUAUCAACUAAGCCAGACAAGAGGGCUUUUGCUCUGAUCACAAACCUCAUGAAACUGAAGGUUGAACGUGAUGAAAAGAGAGCCAGUUCCUAUAUUGUGAGCUACCCUACAAAGGAAACCUCAUGGAAAGGAAGAAAGAGAAGCCUCAGACCAACAACUCAUGAGGAAUUGAGACCCUCAGUCCAACAGCUCUUGAAGAACUGAAUCCUGCCAACAAGCUGAGUGAGCUCAGAAGUGAACCUAUCCCCAGAUCCAGGCCUGGUUAUGUAUCCUGUGAUUUACAUGCAGAACUGCAGUAGUUCCAUCAAACCCUUGUUCAAGCAUUCAAAUGAAUUCAAAACUACUGCUUGGGAAGAUGACAACGACAAGAAGAAGAACAGCAACAACACUUUCUCCUUUUGCAGUGUACUGCCUGUAUACGAGUCAGACAACAACUUACCAUUUUUAAUUUCCUUAGUAAAAUACUAGUGAUGGUGUCUUCAUUUAAGAACUUAAGCAUCUCCUUGCAAUCAGCAGCACAGGGCACUUGCAUGGAAGGACUCCAGUCUGAAUUUGACUGUUAUACAUCGUUCAUUAAAAGUCCUGCUGAGAAAAUUGGUAUGUCAGUAUCAGAGAAGUUGAACCCUUUAUUUUUAUCAGAUUUUUAAGGCUUUAUCAUGACAUUGAAGCACACCAUGAGCUAGCCACCUACUGGAAUUUAUUACUCUGAUUCUCUAUAUAAGUGCCUUGAGAAAACUGCAAUUUAAAUUUACUCCUUAAACUUUGAAAUAAUGCCCAUAAAUAGAGCUAUAGUGAUAAGCUUUUGUAGAAUCAUUUUCAAAGACACCAUCAGUUUGUUGUUCACUAUACAUACAUUAUGAUAAAUUUUUUUUUCAGUUCAACACUAUGAAAUAGGCAUAUUUCUCUGGUAAACCGGUACAUGUUCUUUUACUGAACAAUAAGAAUGAUGUAACAUACUAACUUUCUCAUUUUGCUUUGGCUGCCGGGAAAUAUGUUUAUUUUCUGAGCAGUUAUAGUAGCUACUCUCAGCCUAAGUUUGUUACUAUAUCUCUUUUUGGCUCCAUAUUUUAGUACUUGUUUAAUUAAUUUUCUUUUUAUUUAUUUGGCUUUUAUAUUGUUUUGGUGCCUUUAUAGUUCAAACUAUCACAUUUUAGGGAGUUAGGUGGUGAAAUGCUGCCCCUUUAACAUUUGA